GACGGUCGUGCAGUAGAGCUUUCUUCUUCUUUUCUUCGUUUGUUAUGUUGCAAAUCUAAUUCUAGCUAGACCCGCAGCGCCACAGUGCCGGUUACUUUGCAUACCAGCCCGUGCGUGCGUGUGCGUGCGUGUGUGCGUGCUUGGUGAAUCGUAUUCAAAUUUAUUCAUUCCCUGUCGUAAGCGCUCUACUAACAGUUCUCCGUGUGACCUAUCGAUUACUAAUCCACACUUCCGGUGCGGGGAGUGCAGGGAGGGGGGAAAAUCAAUAUAAACCACUGCCACAUGUUUGAACGUGUUUGGUGCAAACACCGGCAGGCGGAAUUAGCCUCCUGCAACUUCCUUCUACAGCGAUAAUAAAUUCAAUCAACUAGAACACGCGGCGUUUGCUGCGAUCAUCCAUCAAGCAGGGGACAGGGCAGGUGGCAAAAGCAACAAACACAACCGUCCCACCCCAAAUGCGGUUGUUUUGAUGCAAGAAAUACGGUUCUUCUACACCCACCACAAGCAGGUUGCCUCCGUGCAGUACACGUGACAAUGUAACGGAUCUACCCCUCACCGUUCACUAUCUGAAACGGAACAGCAGCAGCAGCAGCUAGUAGUGCGAGCUCCUCGUGUACUACCGCGUGGUGGAGGUGGUUGGUUUGCACCACUUGAGUGGGACAAUAAUAGUGGCGGCAAUAACAACAACGGCAACCACUUGCAGCAUGGGAAAGUAGUAACGCUCAAGUCGCAUGGAGUGUGCGUUGGCGUAUAUCAUGCGAUGUUUACUGACCCUGCUGUUUUGUUUACGGAGUGUGUUAUACAACGUGUGCGAGGGAGAGAGAGGUGUGUGAUCGUAGAACAAGAAAGAUUAUGAAUCUCUCUUGCGUUGGGAAGUGAAGUGGCAGCUGGUGCAUCAGAAACACACUUCAAUAAACAAAGGCCUGCUCAGCAAGAGACUUGCAGUAUAGAACCAUCGAUCGUACGGCGACAUAAGCGCGUCUCUCUCGUGUGUAUGGUUCGUGUGCCAAGGAAUGCGUUGUAUUUACAUACAGUGCCGCUCGGACAUACUUCCUAUUUUCGCACUGCCGAUGCACCACCACCCCCAUCAUCAUCUACAUCACUGCAACGAGAGCGGGACCGGAUUCUAACGUCCCGAGACCGUAAACAACGCCGCGAUCAAACUGCAAACUGUAAGCAAUGAAGAAUGCUGCGCUGAACCUGCCCAUAAACGUGACGAGGAUCGUGAACGGCCCUAUCCAGACAAGCUUUAAAAACAGAAGCUCUGCUGCCCAUUCGGGAAAACGAUCGAUUAUGAAGCUUACUUCCGCCCCCGACUGACUAUUGGCUCCCAACAUCUUCUUGUACACCACAAACCAAACACACCGUUGUUGGGCCGCCGUGUGUCUCAAUCACUCGCAGUGUUGAAAGAUAUACAACACACACGUCCGUCUCUCUUCUCCAACGGCAACAAUGUUGGCGCCCCACGGCCGACCGCGCAAUUCGCGGUCGGGGAAUAAAUAUCUAAUUUGCUGCUAAACAGCAACAUCGGCGGCAACCUCUGCUCGGCGUGGUUUAAAGGGGAUGGAAGGGAGGCGGAUGAUAUUUUUCGCGUUAAAAUGCUUUCCUUGGGGGCACGACCACUUUACGCGUAAACAAGCUAGAAUGACGACGACGGUACACACAAGUGGCGGCGCGAGCAACGAACGAACGAAGGUCAACUCGUACUCACCCCUUGGUGGAAGUGCGGUGGUGGUGGUGUGACCAAUCCCUUCAACCACCCAGCUUGUAUACGGUACCGGUACGUUGGGACGAUAGGUAUUAGUUGAAAGGGGUGCUGCAGCUACUGAUAAUAAUGGCACAGCUCACGUUUUAGAUACAUUUGACUACGACAUUGACAGACAAAAACACCAUGCUCGUUACUGAUUACUGUUACCUAGUCUAAUGAUAACAACCUCCUUUGCACCAAUUGUAUCGAAAAAGUCCAUAUUCAUCGUGCCACAGCUGUGUAGAUAUAAGUAUUAGAAGACACCUUGGACAUACGUUGUUGUUUUACAUUGAAAAGACCAACCGAUAAACUCUUUCCUUAUAUCCCUCCAAAGCUUGCUCACAUUCCUCGCAAAACCCAAAACAGGCCGCACGACGACGCCAACCGUACGUACGCGUCUAUUACGUCUACCAUACAAUUGCUAGAAGACGUGCCUUUCUGGCGCUAACCAAUGGCGAAUCGUGAUGCCGCGAUCCUA
Molecule: long non-coding RNA, 2225 nt
Organism: Anopheles arabiensis
Lineage: Eukaryota; Metazoa; Arthropoda; Insecta; Diptera; Culicidae
Exons: 3
Source: RefSeq, a predicted model, not a curated record